Molecule: ribosomal RNA, 422 nt
Filed under: uncultured bacterium
Lineage: Bacteria
Description: bacterial SSU rRNA
Rfam family: Bacterial small subunit ribosomal RNA
Source: RNAcentral
UAAGGAAUAUUGGACAAUGGAGGCAACUCUGAUCCAGCCAUGCCGCGUGAAGGAAUAAGGCCCUAUGGGUUGUAAACUUCUUUUAGACGGGACAAAACCCCUUUACGUGUAAAGGGUUGAUGGUACUGUCAGAAUAAGCAUCGGCUAACUUCGUGCCAGCAGCCGCGGUAAUACGAAGGAUGCAAGCGUUAUCCGGAAUUAUUGGGUUUAAAGGGUGCGUAGGCGGACUAAUAAGUCAGUGGUGAAAGCCUGCAGCUUAACUGCAGAAUUGCCAUUGAUACUGUUAGUCUUGAGUACAGUUGAGGUAGGCGGAAUGUGUCAUGUAGCGGCGAAAUGCUUAGAUAUGACACAGAACACCUAUUGCGAAGGCAGCUUACUACACAAUCAUUGACGCUGAGGCACGAAAGCGUGGGGAUCAAACA